GAGGUAAAUUAGUAAUCAUUUCAUAAAAUGGCUGCCAUCAGGUAUACAGUUUAUUUGUAAAGUCUCAAAUUGACAAAAGCAUUCAUUUUUAAAUAAUCAAAAGUAUCUUACGUUGUGCUUUUUAUAAGAACGUCCCAUAAAUAAUCUUCAAUGCAUAAAAAUUAAUUAUUUUUAUAUCGUGGUUUUUCGAAUGUAGUCGUAUGCUAUUGUGUGAUCUCACUAAACAGAGCGCGGAAGUACAAAAAAGCGUACGUCAAACUGUCAAAGAGUCCUUAUGUCAAUUUGUUUAUAGCUAUAAGCGUUGAUGAAUGUCUGAGAGUGAUACUUACGAUUCGGCGGACGAAUAUACAAGCCUAAUGGACGGUCACGUCGCGGAAUCUCGCACGGACGAUUUGGGCUUGGUCACUGGUCGAAAAAGGCGUUCGCGUAUUAGUAACGAAGAGAUUGAAAAUGGAGUUCCUGAGGUUCAUAUUCAAACACCAGGUAUAUCAAAUAAUGCAGGUUCAGGUAGAAGAAGUACAUUAAGUAGUAGUGUCCAGGGUAGAUCAAGAAAUUAUAGAGAUGAAGAAGAAGAAGAAUUAAAAUAUGGAGCAGCACAUGUUAUUAAAUUAUUUGUGCCUGUAUCUCUUUGUAUGUUAGUUGUAGUUGCCACAAUUAGUUCUAUAAAUUUUUACACAACUAAAGGAAUGUAUCUAGUAUACACUCCAUUUCAUGAAGACAGUGCUGACACAAGUACAAAGGCUUGGCAAGCAGUUGCCAACUCUUUAAUAUUAAUGAGUGUCAUUGUAUUUAUGACUGUGAUACUUAUUGUUCUAUAUAAAUAUAAAUUUUAUAAAGUAAUCCAUGGAUGGUUGAUAAUAAGUUCCUUAUUGUUGUUAUCUAUGUUUUCUAUGUUAUAUUGCGAACAAGUAUUAAAAGCAUAUAACAUUCCAAUGGAUUUGUAUACAUUAGGUUUAGUUUUGUGGAAUUUUGGAGUAGUUGGAAUGAUAUGUAUACAUUGGCAAGGUCCUUUACAAUUACAACAAGCAUAUCUUAUUUUUAUCUCUGCUCUAAUGGCGCUUGUUUUUAUUAAAUAUUUACCAGAAUGGACAGCAUGGGUUGUACUUGGUGUUAUUAGUAUUUGGGAUUUAAUUGCUGUGUUAACACCAAAAGGACCUUUAAGAAUACUUGUAGAGACUGCACAAGAGCGAAAUGAAUCUAUUUUUCCUGCAUUAAUUUAUUCUUCGACAAUUAUGUACACAGCUACAAUGACUUAUGCUGGUUAUGUACAAACAGCAACAAUGACUACUAAUGAUACUACUGCUAGUGAUAAUACAACAUAUACUAUGAAUAAUCAAGCAAAUAAUCAAAAUAAUUCUACAUCUGGAGAUGCAGAAGAGGGCGGAUUUACACCUGAAUGGAUAGAUACACAUGGUGAUCGAGGAGCAAGACGAGCACAAGAAGUACGCGAAAACACUUUGUCUUUGACAGAAAGAUCAAGACAAAAUAAUCGUGUUGCACGUGAAUCACAAGGACAACAAGUCCCAAUUACUGAGGAGGAACGAGGAGUGAAAUUAGGUCUUGGUGAUUUUAUAUUUUAUAGCGUUUUAGUUGGGAAAGCUUCCAGUUAUGGCGAUUGGAAUACUACAUUAGCUUGUUUCGUUGCUAUUCUUAUUGGACUUUGUUUAACAUUAUUAUUGCUGGCUAUUUUUAAAAAAGCAUUGCCAGCAUUACCGAUCUCUGUUACAUUUGGUUUAACAUUUUAUUUUGCCACGAGAGUAAUCGUUGCACCAUUUGCAGAUAAAUUAGCGAGCGAGCAAGUGUUCAUUUAACUAUCCAUGAAAGAACUUUGCUUAAGAAAGAAUUAUGCUUAACUUCUGGAAUCAACUCAUACAUUAAAAUUAUAAUUAGAUUUGAAAAUAGAUAUAGUUUACUUACAUGAUGAUUAACAAGCUCUCUCACCGCGUCAACACAUUUAUCAUCGUUCAAGCUUGACCAAGAUUCUGGCAAACUGCCGUCACUACCAGCACCGUCAUCCGUCUGAAAUGUAGUUCGUGCCAUCAAACUACGGACUACACGUGCCACAUAUUAUGCCGAAUUUUCCAUUUUGUCUAGAGACUCUUACCUUCUCCCACCAUUGAUGAAAUCUUUGUGCACGUUCGUGAUUGCUCAUGAAUUCUUGAAACUGACGAUGCUUGGACUGCAAUGUUGUACGCAGAGAGGCAACUUCCCUACAUAAAUUUUCUACCUAGUACCACACACACACAGAUAUCGAUGCAUUAACAAAAAAGAUAACUGAAAACAAUAUAGUUUAGACGUUUUCCAUUCUUUUUCUUUCUUUUUUUUAUUUUAUUUUAUUAUUAUUAUUAUUUCUUUUCUUUUCUUUUUUUUUUUGAUGAAAGAUGAAUUCUAAGUAAUAACAAUGAAAAACAAGAGAGAUUUUACAAAUCAUCAUAUAUAUAUAUAGAUAAUUUAAUUAUGAGAUGUAAAAGACAAAUAAUGUUCAAUAAAUAAAAAUAAAAAAUGAAAGCAUGCUACUUUUUAUGCAUAAAAAGGGGCUACGAUAAUAAUAUUAAUUUAUAUGAGAAUUAUUGACAAAUUCAAUUGAAUAUAAAAUUAAGAAUUAAUGGUAAAAAAAGAAGAAAACAGAAAUGAAAUGAAAAAUAAUCGCGAUAAUACAUUACCUUAAUAAUUCGGUUAGUUAGGUUUUUAAAUCCAACAUCAGCACUCGACAAAGUGCACGUGCGGACGUAUCCCAACAAAAUUGUUAACAAGAUACACUGGGUUUGUUAAUCGGGAGCGUUAAUUCUCUCGACCAUAUAUAACGUGUAACGCUUAAUAGAAUGUGUGAGAUAGAAUACAGAUAACAGAAGUGUGCGUGCAAUAUUAUAUCGUGGAAGAUCGAAGGCCAAUUUUUGUAAGAAAAAUUUAUUAAUCAACAGUAUUCGUAUAUAUAUAUAUUAUAUAUAUAUGUAUAUAAUAACAACAGUUCUUUCUUCUUUCUCGCAUAACAAACCCAUAUAUAUAUAUAUAGACGUUUCUACAAAAAAACAAGGCCAAAUAUGUACAUAACACGUUCUUCUUCUUUUUUUUUUUACUCUGUUCACUUAACAGUCGUCUACAAGGUACUUAACGUAUAACAUUCCACAGAAUGCCAUAUUUGUCCGGCAAUAUCUCGUCAACACUGGCACUUUAAUCGUAAACGUUUCAGGCAACUUAUCGCCAAUAAUAAGCUUUUCUAUCGCUAUUAAAAAAAAUAAGCGUUAAAAUCUCUACAGGCAGCUAUAUUCAUCUGCGUGAAAUUAGGCGCAUUUUUAUAUUAACCCGUAAUAGAACCUGCAUGAAAAUGAAAAAGUAUAAUACAAAAAAAAGAUAGACAUUUUUUUUAUAUAUAUAUAUAUAUGUAUAUAUAUAAAAAAAUGAUUCAAUUACAUAUUGGACAAAUAUUGUCCCAUUAACAAUGUAAUUGUACAUUAGUUACAUUAUAUUACAAUAUCAGGAUCCAAAAUCCUGAUAUUAGACGCCAUUCGUUGCUUUGAAGCACCUUAAGCUUUUUCUUUUUUUUUUU
RNA transcript from Apis mellifera (honey bee), 3547 nucleotides. It is a transcript of the gene named presenilin-1, with no coding region annotated. The record is from RefSeq and is a predicted model, not a curated record. NCBI's taxonomy places the organism in Eukaryota, Metazoa, Arthropoda, Insecta, Hymenoptera, Apidae. The transcript is spliced from 9 exons.